UACGGGGGGGGCAAGCGUUGUUCGGAAUUACUGGGCGUAAAGGGCUCGUAGGCGGCCAACUAAGUCAGACGUGAAAUCCCUCGGCUUAACCGGGGAACUGCGUCUGAUACUGGAUGGCUUGAGUUUGGGAGAGGGAUGCGGAAUUCCAGGUGUAGCGGUGAAAUGCGUAGAUAUCUGGAGGAACACCGGUGGCGAAGGCGGCUCACUGGCCCGGUACUGACGCUGAGGUGCGAAAGCGUGGGGAGCAAACAGG
Molecule: ribosomal RNA, 253 nt
Filed under: uncultured bacterium
Lineage: Bacteria
Description: partial 16S ribosomal RNA
Rfam family: Bacterial small subunit ribosomal RNA
Source: RNAcentral